RNAcentral lists this ribosomal RNA (684 nucleotides) under bacterium xpnta601lb522onnp10.8. Its description in RNAcentral is "bacterial SSU rRNA". It matches the Rfam family "Bacterial small subunit ribosomal RNA", at positions 51 to 748 of the family's 1533-position model. The record is from RNAcentral.
ACACAUGCAGUCGAACGGUGAAGCAGGGCUUGCCCUGCGGAUCAGUGGCGAACGGGUGAGUAACACGUGAGCAACCUGCCCCGGACUCUGGGAUAACAGUUGGAAACAGCUGCUAAUACCGGAUAUGAGACGUGACCGCAUGGUCGACGUUUGGAAAGAUUUUUCGGUCUGGGAUGGGCUCGCGGCCUAUCAGCUUGUUGGUGAGGUAAUGGCUCACCAAGGCGUCGACGGGUAGCCGGCCUGAGAGGGUGACCGGCCACACUGGGACUGAGACACGGCCCAGACUCCUACGGGAGGCAGCAGUGGGGAAUAUUGCACAAUGGGCGGAAGCCUGAUGCAGCAACGCCGCGUGAGGGACGACGGCCUUCGGGUUGUAAACCUCUUUUAGCAGGGAAGAAGCGAAAGUGACGGUACCUGCAGAAAAAGCACCGGCUAACUACGUGCCAGCAGCCGCGGUAAUACGUAGGGUGCAAGCGUUAUCCGGAAUUAUUGGGCGUAAAGAGCUCGUAGGCGGUUUGUCGCGUCUGCUGUGAAAUCCCGAGGCUCAACCUCGGGCCUGCAGUGGGUACGGGCAGACUAGAGUGCGGUAGGGGAGAUUGGAAUUCCUGGUGUAGCGGUGGAAUGCGCAGAUAUCAGGAGGAACACCGAUGGCGAAGGCAGAUCUCUGGGCCGUAACUGACGCUG